This 367-nucleotide ribosomal RNA is filed under the name uncultured bacterium. RNAcentral's name for it is "bacterial SSU rRNA". It matches the Rfam family "Bacterial small subunit ribosomal RNA", at positions 28 to 396 of the family's 1533-position model. The record is from RNAcentral.
GACGAACGCUGGCGGCGUGCUUAACACAUGCAAGUCGAGCGGUAAGGCCCUUUCGGGGGUACACGAGCGGCGAACGGGUGAGUAACACGUGGGUGACCUGCCCUCAGCUCUGGGAUAAGCCUGGGAAACCGGGUCUAAUACUGGAUAUGACUCCAUGACGCAUGUUGUGGGGUGGAAAGCCUUGUGCGGCUGAGGAUGGGCCCGCGGCCUAUCAGCUUGUUGGGGGGUGAUGGCCUACCAAGGCGACGACGGGUAGCCGGCCUGAGAGGGCGGACCGGCCACACUGGGACUGAGACACGGCCCAGACUCCUGCGGGAGGCAGCAGUGGGGAAUCUUGCGCAAUGGGCGAAAGCCUGACGCAGCGACG